This 1040-nucleotide ribosomal RNA is filed under the name Trichoderma amazonicum. Its description in RNAcentral is "SSU rRNA". It matches the Rfam family "Eukaryotic small subunit ribosomal RNA", at positions 56 to 1112 of the family's 1831-position model. Lineage: Eukaryota; Fungi; Ascomycota; Sordariomycetes; Hypocreales; Hypocreaceae. The record is from RNAcentral.
UGUCUAGUUAGCAAUUAUACCGCGAAACUGCGAAUGGCUCAUUAUAUAAGUUAUCGUUUAUUUGAUAAUACUUUACUACUUGGAUAACCGUGGUAAUUCUAGAGCUAAUACAUGCUGAAAAUCCCGACUUCGGAAGGGAUGUAUUUAUUAGAUUAAAAACCAAUGCCCCUCGGGGCUCUCUGGUGAAUCAUGAUAACUAGUCGAAUCGACAGGCCUUGUGCCGGCGAUGGCUCAUUCAAAUUUCUUCCCUAUCAACUUUCGAUGUUUGGGUAUUGGCCAAACAUGGUGGCAACGGGUAACGGAGGGUUAGGGCUCGACCCCGGAGAAGGAGCCUGAGAAACGGCUACUACAUCCAAGGAAGGCAGCAGGCGCGCAAAUUACCCAAUCCCGACACGGGGAGGUAGUGACAAUAAAUACUGAUACAGGGCUCUUUUGGGUCUUGUAAUCGGAAUGAGUACAAUUUAAAUCCCUUAACGAGGAACAAUUGGAGGGCAAGUCUGGUGCCAGCAGCCGCGGUAAUUCCAGCUCCAAUAGCGUAUAUUAAAGUUGUUGUGGUUAAAAAGCUCGUAGUUGAACCUUGGGCCUGGCUGGCCGGUCCGCCUCACCGCGUGCACUGGUCCGGCCGGGCCUUUCCCUCUGCGGAACCCCAUGCCCUUCACUGGGUGUGGCGGGGAAACAGGACUUUUACUUUGAAAAAAUUAGAGUGCUCAAGGCAGGCCUAUGCUCGAAUACAUUAGCAUGGAAUAAUAGAAUAGGACGUGUGGUUCUAUUUUGUUGGUUUCUAGGACCGCCGUAAUGAUUAAUAGGGACAGUCGGGGGCAUCAGUAUUCAAUUGUCAGAGGUGAAAUUCUUGGAUUUAUUGAAGACUAACUACUGCGAAAGCAUUUGCCAAGGAUGUUUUCAUUAAUCAGGAACGAAAGUUAGGGGAUCGAAGACGAUCAGAUACCGUCGUAGUCUUAACCAUAAACUAUGCCGACUAGGGAUCGGACGAUGUUACUUUUUGACGCGUUCGGCACCUUACGAGAAAUCAAAGUGCUGGC